AUUACGUAAGUAAGUAAGAUCCCUGAGAGAAGAUCAGGUAGAUAGGAUGGAAGUGGAAGUACAGUGAUGUAUGGAGCGGACCAUUACUAAUCGAUCGAGGACUUAACC
RNAcentral lists this ribosomal RNA (108 nucleotides) under Ligilactobacillus saerimneri 30a. RNAcentral's name for it is "Lactobacillus saerimneri 30a partial 23S ribosomal RNA". It matches the Rfam family "Bacterial large subunit ribosomal RNA", at positions 2815 to 2925 of the family's 2925-position model. The record is from RNAcentral. Lineage: Bacteria; Bacillati; Bacillota; Bacilli; Lactobacillales; Lactobacillaceae.